GACGGUAUUAUAUGAAUAAGCACCGGCUAACUCCGUGCCAGCAGCCGCGGUAAUACGGGGGGUGCAAGCGUUACUCGGAAUCACUGGGCGUAAAGAGCAUGUAGGCGGAUUAAUAAGUUUGAAGUGAAAUCCUAUAGCUUAACUAUAGAACUGCUUUGAAAACUGUUAAUCUAGAAUGUGGGAGAGGUAGAUGGAAUUUCUGGUGUAGGGGUAAAAUCCGUAGAGAUCAGAAGGAAUACCGAUUGCGAAGGCGAUCUACUGGAACAUUAUUGACGCUGAGAUGCGAAAGCGUGGGGAGCAAACAGGAUUAGAUACCCUGGUAGUCCACGCCCUAAACGAUGUACACUAGUUGUUGUGAGACUUGAUCUUGCAGUAAUGCAGUUAACACAUUAAGUGUACCGCCUGGGGAGUACGGUCGCAAGAUUAAAACUCAAAGGAAUAGACGGGGACCCGCACAAGCGGUGGAGCAUGUGGUUUAAUUCGACGAUACACGAAGAACCUUACCUGGACUUGACAUAGUAAGAACUUUCUAGAGAUAGAUUGGUGUCUGCUUGCAGAAACUUAUAUACAGGUGCUGCACGGCUGUCGUCAGCUCGUGUCGUGAGAUGUUGGGUUAAGUCCCGCAACGAGCGCAACCCUCGUGUUUAGUUGCUAACAGUUCGGCUGAGAACUCUAAACAGACUGCCUACGCAAGUAGGAGGAAGGUGAGGACGACGUCAAGUCAUCAUGGCCCUUACGUCCAGGGCGACACA
This 752-nucleotide ribosomal RNA is filed under the name Campylobacter sp. PL-R. RNAcentral's name for it is "bacterial SSU rRNA". It matches the Rfam family "Bacterial small subunit ribosomal RNA", at positions 471 to 1220 of the family's 1533-position model. The record is from RNAcentral. Lineage: Bacteria; Pseudomonadati; Campylobacterota; Epsilonproteobacteria; Campylobacterales; Campylobacteraceae.